This 7210-nucleotide long non-coding RNA is filed under the name Medicago truncatula (barrel medic). RNAcentral's name for it is "long non-coding RNA (MTRU_LNC002654)". Lineage: Eukaryota; Viridiplantae; Streptophyta; Magnoliopsida; Fabales; Fabaceae. The record is from RNAcentral.
UAUAGGCAUUGAUGCAUUUGUAAUGUGGUCGUUCACCGAACGACCGACCACUAAGGUUUUGUACGGGAGUUUGGAGGAAACACAAACUUACAGUUUUCCAUCCAUCUGGAUCUAAAAAGGAAGUGACCUUUGUGUUAAGGCCAGGAAUUGGCCCUGGUUGCAGAGUGAUCUCCCCUCCAAGCUCUUGUGUGACUAGGUUGACUACAUCAGCACUCUUGUAGACAUCAUCAGUACCAAUGGCAAUCUGUUAUAGACACAUGAAACAUAUUUUACCAUCAAUGGUACAUAAACACGAAGAAAGCUAGUUUAAGCUUCAAGGUCAUAUAAUUUAACUUAUGAACUAACCUGUGCAUAAGCAGUUCCCUUAGAGUAUUCGGUGACACCAUAAUUAUAUGUCAACUCCAACACAGUUGCGUCGUCCUCCUCUUUAUACCCAAGUAUAGCAAUAGUGUACUGUAGGACAUGCAACAAAUUAAAACAUGUGUUUCUAUUGUAGUUGUAUAAUCUAUGCUUUCUGAUUAGAAUGUCAGUCACAUUGCAAAGAAAAAGGCAUGAGGAAACAUCACCUUGUUCUCAGGAUUAUCAACCUUCCUCACCACCUUCAAGCCCAAAGCCUAUGUAAAUAUGAUCCAUAAGAACAUAUAUAGCAUCGGUUAAUAAACCACAUUUGGUUUAAAUAAUGCAUAAUUAAAUCAUAACUCAUCAAAUACAAUUCUCUGAUUCUAUUUUGUACAUACAACCAAAAGCUAUCAAAUAGUACAAGUACUAAUCUUGACUCUUCGCACACAGGAAAUCAUAUCAUACUUGUUCUUCCUAGAAUAUCUUCGAUUGUUACCUUUUCAUAAAACUUUAUGGCACGUUCUAAAUCACCAACGCGAAGACUUAUUUGACAGAAUGGGUCGUGAACUAUAGGUCUUUGGACAAGUGCAAAAGUGUAGCCAUCAGGAUCCUUCACAAAGGCAAUAACAGUUGUCCCACCUUGAACUGGACCAGCCUCCCUUGUGAUAUUUCCACCUUUAGCACGAAUGUGCUCAACCAAUUUGUAAACCUAAAAUAAAAAUUGAAGCAAUGUUAAUUACAAUGUUCAUUCUCUUCACAAAUCACAAGCUUAUGUGAAGUUAGAAUACUCUUGUCUUACAUCUUGAGUUGCAAUUGCAAAAUGUCCAAAGCCAUCUCCAACAUCAUACGAAGUCACCCCAUAAUCUAACAAUUAAUAAAAUCGUAUAAUUAAACAGUUUACAAGAAUUCAAAGAAAAUAAAUCCAUGUAGUAAAAAAAAAAUAGUGAUAAUUAGGCUAGCAAAAAUAACAAUAGGAGUUAAAUAUGUUUUUAUUUCUUAUAAAAUUCAUCCAUACAAAAAGUCCUUAGAAAAUAGACGAUUUUUCAAGUUUAGUCCUAUUUUGCUAGACUGAAACACUCAUUUUUGUCCAAUAAAUACAAUUCAAAUGAUAAAAGACUAGAGAGACAUUUGAUCUGUUGGGAGAGAAGGUUAUAAUUCACGAUUUUCCGUUUCUCUGCACUUAGUGUAUGAGUUUUGUCACUAAGCUCUUUGAAAACACCCAUCUUGUGUAAGUGACUAAAAACAAUCACUUUUUGCAACAAAAAAAAAAGUGUUUUAGUCGAGCAAAAUGAGUAAACCACCAAAUUGGUCGUGUCUUUAUAAGUCACUUUCAAUUUAGUCACUGACUCUAUUAAUAUUUCAAAAUAGUCAUUGUCUUUGUCAAAAGUUUUUCAAUUAAAUCUCUUAUCAUGUGACAAAAAAAGAAGAGAAAGAAGUCUAAUUGAGAAACUUUUGACAAUAUUUCAAAAUAGUCAAUGUCUUUGUCAAAAGUUUCUCAAUUAAGUCCAUAUCCAUGUGACAAAAACAUAGAGACGGGGAAUUAAUUGAGAAACUUUUGACAAAGACACAGACUCUUUUGAAAUAUUAAUAGAUUCAGAGACUAAUUUGAGAGUCACUUGUAAAGACAUGGACCAAAUUGGUGGUUUGCUCCAAGCAAAAUAGGGGACUAAAAUUGAACAAAAUUUAUGUAGGACGACUAUGUGUUAAUUCAAGGUUUAAAUAUGCAGUUUUCUCAUUGCAAUUUUGGCCUUCUAAUAAAAAAAUAAUAAUAAUUCAUCUAUCUUUAGAGAAAUGUACUCUUGCCUGUAUCCCGAGAAGUCAUUUGGUUGAGAGAAACUCUCUUCAACCUCAAGGAACUCGGUUCGAGACUCGACACCAAGAAAAAUAUGCUCUUUUGACCCUCUAACUUUAGGAAAAUAUGUUUUUUUACCCUUUAUCUUUAGGGAAAUAAGAUAUUUCGACUCUUUAUCUUUACAAAAAGUUGCGAUUUUGGCCCCAUGUUCUUCUCAUCAGCUUUGCAGCGUUUUAUAAAAUUAAGUGGUAAAAUUUAUUAUUUUUUUUUUUAAGGGCCAAAAUCAAAAUUGUUAAGGGAUCACAAAUGCAUUUAUGCCUUAAUUCAAUUUAUAAAAUUUACAUAUAUAGGAACUAAGCUUAAACAGGAACUAAAAUAAAAACAUAAUUAAUCUUUUUUUUUUAACAAAUCAAAAUGAUAUAUAUAAUAAACAACGGUGAAUCACCCCACACAAGGCGUGCAGAAAGAGAAACACUUGCAAAUAUUUACAAAGUGAGAGUCCGACAAUUAAAAGCACCAACCAAAACAAUGAAACUAAAUUACACACAAAUGCCCAUAAAUAAUGAAGAGAAAUAAUAAAUAUAAAAAGGAAAUUAAAGGGUGAGUAGCUAAGUAACAUACUAUAUGUUAAUUCAACAGCAAAAUGGGAAUGUUCAUCACCAAAUCCAACAAAAGCGUUGGCAUAUUUCUCCUCAGGAACAUCUCUCUGCCUCAAAAGUUUCAUCCCAAGAGCCUCAGUAUAAAACCUGAAAGAACCAUAUCCAAGACAUGAAUAUGAAUAUGAAUAUGAAUAUGAUUAUGAUGAUGGUUUGUAUUUUAAGCAUGCAAUCAAUAAUCUAACAAAAGUUAAACAUACUUAAUGGUGCGUUCAAGGUCACCAACACGAUAAACAACAUGAAGCAAACGACGGUUGUCUUUCUUUGGCCAUUCCAAAUCAAUCUCAGCCAUCUGCAACACAAGCAAAAUCAAUUAAGGCAAUAAAACAGUGCAACACAAACACAUUCACAUAACCAAACCAUAAAUAAGCUCAAAAACAUGCAAUCAGCCAAGAUAAACGUGUUAACUAACCACUGAACAGAGGAGUGAGUGAGUGAGGGAUGUCUGUUGGUAAGGAUAAAUAUCUUAUCGCUAGUUUUUCUAUAUUUUAUGAGAAAUUAUAUUUAAACAACCAUUUUUUGUCAACUUUUAUUAUAAUUUUCUCUCUCAUAUUCACAUUGUCCUUUUACUUUCUCUCUUUAUUACUUUGAUUUUUGUGUCACUAUCUAAAUCCAUUUAUAUAAUUUAGUUGUAUAAGAAGUUAUCACAAUAAAGGAUUGUUCAAAUAACAUUGCUCAUUUUUUUUUUUUUAGAACAUUGCUCAUAUUUUAUUAUCAAAAAAGUUCACACCAAGUAUAAAAAAAUAUUAUUUUAUAAGCCAACGUGUCAAACGUAGCACCAUGCCACCAUCAAUUAUUUCAAAAUAUAAUUAUAUUGUUAUCAAUAUAAACGUUUCUCAAAAACGGCUGAGGUAUUUUAAAAGUGAUUGAUAUUUUUUUUCGUUCAGUUAGUCUAAUGGUUAGAAUUCAUCUUAUAAGGUGAAUAUAGGAUGUUCGGGAUUCGAACUCCGACCCCUGCAUAUAAUAAUGCAUUGUUCUACCAACUGAGCUAUGCUCACGGGAUAAAAGAUAUGAUAUUUAAACAACAUUUGAGACAAUUUUUAUGAUAAUUUUUUUCUAUAAAAAAAAAAAUAGAGAGAAGAAAGGAAAAGAAAAUAUAACAUAUGUGUUACAGAGUUAUUAAAAAAUUAUGUAAAAAUAUCAUUUCUCAAAUAUGAACUAGACUCACGCAACAGAACAAAACUUGUUUUAAGCUUCGGUUGGGAUCGGUGUUGACAUACUCGAGUGGAGAAAACAUAUGAAAAUAAUGGAGGUAAAUUUACAACAAUAUUUAAGGAGAGUUCUUAUUUACCAUAAGAAAAUGUUGGAUACGGAACUCUAACAAUAAAAUUCACCUUAAAGUAGUUGAAUUCCCUCAAAAUAUUAUAUUUCCUCAAAACAUUCAUCCAUCCAAACACACUCUAAAGAUGGUAAUUUUAAUGAAUGAAUGAUUUUGAAUAGUGAUUGAUUGAUGGAAACCAUCCAUUAAAAAAAAUGUUCUUUAAAAAAAUCCACUCUAAUCUAUUCAUAUAGAACUAUUUGCUUAAUCGGUUUGGAGAUAUAACAGGUAGAUGUAAGACUUUAUUAGUAAUCCACAGUAAUUAUUAUGUGUUUUAUGUCAGGAGGCAAAAAAAUAGGGUAGCUCAUAACAUUGCUAGAGUUUCCUUAUCUCAUCUCAGUGCUAAGUCAAUAAUUGUAGGUUUUUAAGUGUUUAUUUUAGUAGAAUUUUAUGUGUUUUAAUUUCUUUUUAGAACUUUGGUACUUCAAAUUUGUUUUUUAUUUAUUUAUUUUCAGGAUCACAAAUGAUGGAUGAUCAAGUCUUUGAACAAAAGAAUGGAUUAAGAUGCAUGAUUGAAGCUUGUUUGAGAUGAAAGCUAAAAAGAGGGAAAUUUUGUCAUAUUUAUGUGCUGAUUUUGUGCAUAUUUAUGUUCUCAUUUGGUGCAUAUUUAUGUGCUGAUUUAGUGCAAAUUUAUGUUCCGAUUUAGUGCUAAUUUAUGAUGUUCCUCUCGCUAUGAAUUGAGGAGCCAUCGGACUUGUUUAUUCAUCUUUGAAUCUUGGGAAUUCUCUACGACAAUUAUUUCUUUUGAAUCAAAGUUCUUUUAUUUUCUUGUUCUUUAUAAUUCUGCACUCUUACUUUCAGUUGUUUACUCUCAUGUAUUUCUUCUCCAUCUCUUUAAUCUCUUUGUCUACGAUGAAUAUGAGUGAGUAGAUUUCCUUGUUUUGGGAUUGUUGGAUGAGUCUAAUGACUUAAUUCCUAUCAAAUCAAGCCUAGAACCCUAAUCUUAUUUAAAUCUAUUUUCUAAUCUAAUUUCAUCGUUUUCAAACUCAGUAACAAGUAUUAAACGAAGGACCGAAAUGUGAAGUUUGAUAGUUGUUAGAGCAAUGAUAUUUGUACACCUAUUCCAUAACAACUUUAGUGAUAACCUUGUUUUUCUCUCUUCUUAUUGGUCAAAAGCAAUGGAGAGAGAAAAAGGAAGAGAGAGGAUAAGAUCAUCAUGUGAGUAUGAGAGAUAAAGUUGUACAAAAGUUGUCACAAAUUGGUUGUACAAAUAUCAUUUCUCUAGUUGUUAUUUCAUCAUCUCAAAUAUCAAACGAAGGAUCGAAAGAUGAAGUUUGAUAUUGGAACAAAUGAAAUUAGACAAGACGACACAAAACUUGAUGGGAACACCCCAAAUGAAUAGUCUUGUGAAGUAUUGAGGCAAUAAGUUUCGCUAUUAAAGGGUUUCAAUAACAAUCAACCAUGAGAGUAGGCGUGAUUGUUAUUGAAACACAAUCAUGGAUUCUGAAAGGAACCAUGAAAUACAUUAGAGAAACUUGUCUUUAGAAACGGAUUUAAUUUUAGAGGAAAAUAUAGGUUUGGAUUGUGAGUAAUUUGUCAUUAUGAUGAACCAAUAAUUCCGAGACGCUUUUUAUUAUUUUAUAAACACCAAAUUUGCUAAACUUCUAAACCUUAAACUUUUCAGCUUAUCACAAUUGAAAAGAAAAUCAAUAAUUACAAUAACUCCCUGCGAAACUAUACCUUUACUACUUUGAUAAAACCGUGCACUUGCGGAUUUUACACAUCAAGUUUUUAGCGCCGCUGUCGAGGAGUUAGUAAUAUUGAUUAACUUUUUAGCAUCGGUUAGACUGAAUUCCCUUUUUUUUCCUUUUUUUUUUUUUCUUUCAACUUUUGGAGUUUUUAAUUCUAGAAUACGAAGAACCAAAAGUCUUAGAGAAUUUGUUCCUGAGAUUGAGAGGUUCUUCGACGAAAGAAGAAGAAACACACAAAAACAAAAACGAUAUGGCUGAGGAACGCACUCCUAGAGAGUAUGCAACCCCAUCUAAGAAGCAGAGGAGUACCCCCAUCGACCCCGUUGACAUCCUUAGGUGUUGUUUGGAAUUUGCAUAGUACCUCCAAUGUUGUUUUUAAUCCGUUUAAUUACUCACUCACACUUGAACUAAAAUAAGUGGGAGUUAUUAGUUCAACUUCAAUUAUAAAUGGAUUAAAUGAAUGAUUUAUAGUAUGUAACUUAUAUAUAUUCCAUACACUUUUAUAUGAAUGCAUAUAAAAUAGAAGUAAUGGAUUAUGGUUGCUUUCGUCUCAUUCCUCCAAAUUGGGAUGAGAUGUGGUUCCAUUGCUAAAAGAAACUCAAUAUGUGACAGAUCAUAAAUCAAAAGAUUAAUAAUAGUAGUAGAUUAACAUGCAGAAGGAGUGUGUUAAGUGUGCUUUAAAAUAGAUUAUUACACAACCACAUGAAAGUAAACACGAUAAUAAACAUAAUUGAUCGUCGAUAAACAUUGCGAGACCGUUUUAUUGUUCACACAAGCACUACCCUAGUGUCACUACCUAGGACUGCUACUUAUUUCUUGUUAGCUCGCUCUUCACUCCAGUUCCUUCAGGAAAUCUUCAUUGUCAACUAACACCUACACACAAAAAAUUAACAUGAUGUUAGAAACCUCUAGGCAUUGAUGCAUUUGUCAUGUGGUCAUUCACUGACCGAACACUAAGGUUUUGUACGAGAGUUUGGAGGAAAGGGAAGGUGAGGAAUCUGAGGAUAACAGGAGAAAGAAAGAUUAUGAGAAUUUGAAAAUAAAUAUACAAUUUUACAAAAAUGAGGAUGGAAGUAAAGAGGCUUUCCACAAAUACAAUUAAAUAGAUAUAAAUUGCAAUCAUACUCUUCAAUAGAAGCAAAGGGAAAAAUGAACUUACAGUUUUCCAUCCAUCUGGAUCUAAAAAAGAAACGACUUUUGUGUUAAGGCCGGGAAUUGGCCCUGGUUGCCGAGUGAUCUUCCCUCCAAGCUCUUGCGUUACUAGGUUGACUACAUCAGCACUCUUGUAGACAUCAUCAGUACCAACAGCAAUCUGUCAUAGACACAUGAAACAUAUUUUACCAUUAACAGGACAGAGCUGCGCAGAAAGCUAGUUUAAGCUUCAAGGUCAUAUAAUUUAACUUAUGAACUAACC